UGGGGAAUAUUGGGCAAUGGGCGCAAGCCUGACCCAGCAACGCCGCGUGAAGGAAGAAGGCUUUCGGGUUGUAAACUUCUUUUGUCAGGGAAGAGCAGAAGACGGUACCUGACGAAUAAGCCACGGCUAACUACGUGCCAGCAGCCGCGGUAAUACGUAGGUGGCAAGCGUUGUCCGGAUUUACUGGGUGUAAAGGGCGUGUAGCCGGGCUGACAAGUCAGAUGUGAAAUCCGGGGGCUCAACCCCCGCAACAUGCAUUUGAAACUGUUGGUCUUGAGUAUCGGAGAGGCAGGCGGAAUUCCUAGUGUAGCGGUGAAAUGCGUAGAUAUUAGGAGGAACACCAGUGGCGAAGGCGGCCUGCUGGACGACAACUGACGGUGAGGCGCGAAAGCGUGGGGAGCAAACAGGAUUAGAUACCC
This 419-nucleotide ribosomal RNA is filed under the name uncultured bacterium. Its description in RNAcentral is "bacterial SSU rRNA". It matches the Rfam family "Bacterial small subunit ribosomal RNA", at positions 355 to 787 of the family's 1533-position model. The record is from RNAcentral.